RNAcentral lists this ribosomal RNA (484 nucleotides) under uncultured bacterium. Its description in RNAcentral is "partial 16S ribosomal RNA". It matches the Rfam family "Bacterial small subunit ribosomal RNA", at positions 29 to 507 of the family's 1533-position model. The record is from RNAcentral.
AUUGAACGCUGGCGGCAUGCUUUACACAUGCAAGUCGAACGGCAGCGCGGGCUUCGGCCUGGCGGCGAGUGGCGAACGGGUGAGUAAUGCAUCGGAACGUGCCCAGUAGUGGGGGAUAGCCCGGCGAAAGCCGGAUUAAUACCGCAUACGACCUGAGGGUGAAAGCGGGGGACCGAAAGGCCUCGCGCUAUUGGAGCGUCCGAUGUCGGAUUAGCUAGUUGGUGGGGUAAAGGCUUACCAAGGCGACGAUCCGUAGCUGGUCUGAGAGGACGACCAGCCACACUGGGACUGAGAAACGGCCCAGACUCCUACGGGAGGAAGAAGUGGGGAAUUUUGGACAAUGGGGGCAACCCUGAUCCAGCCAUGCCGCGUGCGGGAAGAAGGCCUUCGGGUUGUAAACCGCUUUUGUUCGGGAAGAAAUCCUCUGGGCUAAUACCCCGGGGGGAUGGCGGUACCGGAAGAAUAAGCACCGGCUAACUACGUG